CAGUAGCCGCGGGAAUACGGAGGGUGCAAGCGUUAAUCGGAAUUACUGGGCGUAAAGCGCACGCGGGCGGUUUGUUAAGUCAGAUGUGAAAUCCCCGAGCUUAACUUGGGAACUGCAUUUGAAACUGGCAAGCUAGAGUGUAGUAGAGGGGGGUAGAAUUCCAGGUGUAGCGGUGAAAUGCGUAGAGAUCUGGAGGAAUACCGGUGGCGAAGGCGGACCCCUGGACAAAGACUGACGCUCAGGUGCGAAAGCGUGGGGAGCAAACAGGAUUAGAUACCCCGGUAGUCCCUGUCUCUUAUAC
Molecule: ribosomal RNA, 301 nt
Filed under: uncultured bacterium
Lineage: Bacteria
Description: partial 16S ribosomal RNA
Rfam family: Bacterial small subunit ribosomal RNA
Source: RNAcentral